Molecule: long non-coding RNA, 718 nt
Organism: Alligator sinensis (Chinese alligator)
Lineage: Eukaryota; Metazoa; Chordata; Crocodylia; Alligatoridae
Exons: 3
Source: RefSeq, a predicted model, not a curated record
GCAGUGUUUGAGGUGCAGAACUGCAGAGGUUUGGAUGGAUGGAUGGAGGAAAAACUACUCCCUCAAUAAGAAAUUCAGAAGUUAAAUAACAAGUUCAUAAGACUGACAAGACAGAUUCAUCAUGGAAGUUUGUUAGACACAAGCCUCUAAAUACUGUGGCAAAUAUAAAGAACGCGACGACAAGAAGACAGUUUCCCAGCACAAGAUUAAAGUCCAGCAGUUACAUGUGGGUGAGAAGCACCAGCCACCUGUGGGGAUGUCUGCAAGGAUGAUGCCACCAUCAGCUGGCGCCCUCUGCAUGCGCCACAACCACCAGGAGUGCACACAGAACCCCUCCCACCUGCUGGAUCACCUGGUCACAGUGGAAGAGGAGUGGCUGGCAGACUUGUGGGCCCGGUGAGCUCAGGACCUGGAGUGGGAGCAGGAGAGGGACUGGGAGGACUGUACCUUCUAGGAAAGGCUCCUUGCUCUUGAGGAGAGGCACAUUGCCUUCCUGUAAGCAAUUGCUUGAGGCCUGGGAGUGGCAGGCUGCCAUGGUGGCCAGGGCCAUGGAGGCAGCAAAGGAGGACAACUGGGUGCUGGACACCAUCCUGGCCCUGGCAGUCACCUUUGUGCCACCUGGCACCCAUCCCCUGGCCCGAGCCCCAUCUGGGACCUGACAACUGCCCAUGGCCCAGCACCUCCCAGUGGGCUUGGGAUGAGGUCAACACCACCUGCA